This 433-nucleotide ribosomal RNA is filed under the name uncultured bacterium. RNAcentral describes it as "partial 16S ribosomal RNA". It matches the Rfam family "Bacterial small subunit ribosomal RNA", at positions 29 to 507 of the family's 1533-position model. The record is from RNAcentral.
AACGAACGCUGGCGGCAUGCCUAACACAUGCAAGUCGAACGAGACCUUCGGGUCUAGUGGCGCACGGGUGCGUAACGCGUGGGAACCUGCCCUUAGGUUCGGAAUAACUCCCCGAAAGGGGUGCUAAUACCGGAUAAUGUCUUCGGACCAAAGAUUUAUCGCCUUUGGAUGGGCCCGCGUUGGAUUAGCUAGUUGGUAGGGUAAAAGCCUACCAAGGCGACGAUCCAUAGCUGGUCUGAGAGGAUGAUCAGCCACACUGGGACUGGGACACGGCCCAGACUCCUACAGGAUGCAGCAGUGGGGAAUAUUGGACAAUGGGCGAAAGCCUGAUCCAGCAAUGCCGCGUGAGUGAUGAAGGCCUUAGGGUUGUAAAGCUCUUUUACCCGGGAUGAUAAUGACAGUACCGGGAGAGUAAGCUCCGGCUAACUCCGUG